UAUCGAGUAGGGAUUUGUUUUUUCUUUUUCUAUCUUUCCUCCUUUCUUUCUUUCUUUCCUUCGUUCUUCUCCCCCUAAAGAUUCAUGAAUUAGAUUUGGUAUAAUACGAGAUGAGUUUUCUGCGAAAUUACGAAAAAAAUGUGAGAAAUUUUGAGAAAGGAGCAUAUUUCUCACGUGGAAUCGCGCAUAUAAGGUUCAUUUACUGUAUCUUUACUAAAUCAGGAUGCGAAGGAGACAGAAAUACUAAAACGAA
Molecule: long non-coding RNA, 253 nt
Filed under: Polistes fuscatus (common paper wasp)
Lineage: Eukaryota; Metazoa; Arthropoda; Insecta; Hymenoptera; Vespidae
Description: uncharacterized LOC122519042
Source: RNAcentral